CAAAUUUUCCAGAAACACUGACAUGGAAACAGGAUCUUUCUUCUCCUACUGUUUGUUCCUCGACUACAGUUAUAAUCCUCUAUUUGUGACAUCAUAAUUAGUUGCCACUGGAGAAGACGAUCGUGUCACAAAAGGAUUAGGACCUAAGGCACAAACACUGACUUAGCAUGGAAGACACUCACCAGGUCAUUCAAGGGCACCAAGGUGGAAAAUGUCCCCAUCCUCAAGAAACUCAGGUCUUGGAGUCCAGCCACUAUGCUGUGGGGAAGCAAAGAAAGCUGUGGAGAGGCCACGUGGGGAGGAAUGCCAUCCUUAGCAUGGGCUGAGCUCCCAGGCAGCACCCAUCUCCAGACAUGCGAGUGAACAGGACUUCCGGCAAUUCCAGCCCCAGCCACUGAGUCACUUCCAGUUUCUCAGUGUUUCCAGGGGAGGCCUCAGACACUAUGGAGCAAAGAAAAUCUGACCCAGCUGUGCCCUGUCCAAAUUCCUGACCCAUAGAGAAUA
This 504-nucleotide long non-coding RNA is filed under the name Homo sapiens (human). RNAcentral's name for it is "HSALNT0201036". The record is from RNAcentral. Lineage: Eukaryota; Metazoa; Chordata; Mammalia; Primates; Hominidae.